AGCGUCUGCCUCGUAAGCAGAAGGUCGCUGGUUCAAUCCCGGUAGGAGGCA
Molecule: transfer RNA, 51 nt
Filed under: Smittium culicis
Lineage: Eukaryota; Fungi; Kickxellomycota; Harpellomycetes; Harpellales; Legeriomycetaceae
Rfam family: tRNA
About the family: Transfer RNA (tRNA) molecules are approximately 80 nucleotides in length.
Source: Rfam by way of RNAcentral